Molecule: ribosomal RNA, 895 nt
Filed under: uncultured crenarchaeote
Lineage: Archaea; Thermoproteati; Thermoproteota
Description: bacterial SSU rRNA
Rfam family: Archaeal small subunit ribosomal RNA
Source: RNAcentral
CCCGACUGCUAUUUGGGUGAGAAUAAGCCAUGCGAGUUGAAUGGGAUACCUAAAGUUCCCAUAGCAAACUGCUCAGUAACACAUGAUCAACUUACCCUAUAGAGAAAAAUAACCUCGGGAAACUGAGGAUAAUGUUUCAUAAUUGAAUUGGCUUGGAAAAGUUUUUCAAUGAAAAGGAUAAAAAAAAUGGUUUUUAUCUGCUAUAGGAUAGGAUCGUGUUCGAUUAUGGUAGUUGGUGAGAUAAUGGCUCACCAAGCCCGAUAAUCGAUAGGGGCCGUGAGAGCGGGAGCCCCGAGAUGGGUACUGAGACAACGACCCAGGCCUUACGAGGCGCAGCAGGCGCGGAACCUCCGCAAUACACGAAAGUGUGACGGGGUUACCCAAAGUGUUCAAUAGAACUGUGGUAGGUGAGUAAUGUCCCCUACUAGAAAGGAGAGGGCAAGGCUGGUGCCAGCCGCCGCGGUAAAACCAGCUCUUCAAGUGGUCGGGAUAAUUAUUGGGCUUAUAGUGUCCGUAGCCGGUUUAGUAAGUUCCUGGUAAAAUCGGGUAGCUUAACUAUCUGCAUGCUAGGAAUACUGCUAUACUARAGGGCGGGAGAGGUCUGAGGUACUACAGGGGUAGGGGUAAAAUCUUAUAAUCCUUGUAGGACCACCAGUGGCGAAGGCGUCAGACUGGAACGCGCCUGACGGUGAGGGACGAAAGCCAGGGGAGCGAACCGGAUUAGAUACCCGGGUAGUCCUGGCCGUAAACGAUGCAUACUAGGUGAUGGUACGGCCAUGAGCCGUAUCAGUGCCGUAGGGAAACCGUUAAGUGUGCCGCCUGGGAAGUACGGUCGCAAGGCUAAAACUUAAAGGAAUUGGCGGGGGAGCACCACAAGGGGUGAAGCCUGCGGUUC